Molecule: non-coding RNA, 73 nt
Organism: Trichonephila inaurata madagascariensis
Lineage: Eukaryota; Metazoa; Arthropoda; Arachnida; Araneae; Nephilidae
Source: the annotation of a GenBank genome assembly
GUCCCUGUAACGCAAAGGAUAGCGCGUUGGACUUCUAAUCUAAAAGGUGAGGGUUCGAAUCCCUCCUGGGAUG